Molecule: long non-coding RNA, 1422 nt
Filed under: Felis catus (domestic cat)
Lineage: Eukaryota; Metazoa; Chordata; Mammalia; Carnivora; Felidae
Description: lncRNA (ENSFCAG00000048240.1)
Source: RNAcentral
CCAAGGCAGAACCUUUCCCUCCACCGGUCCCUCAGGUUUCAGCCUACCUCUCUUGUCUUUUAAGCCCUACUGCAGAAUAGUGGCCUCUCAAUAAACCUUUACAUCCGUGUGAAAGUUCGAAUUGUUUUCCAUUGCUUAGAGGUGGGAUGUGGUGGGGGUGAUCAGGAAUUCUGAGAUUUGUAAGCGCUGCUUUCUUUAACGGAAAUUGAGCCCUAUUUUGAGGGAAAUUAGUUUUGCAGACUUCGUUAAAAAAAAAAAAAGCUAAAACUUUUGUUCACCAGCUGCUCAGCUUUUCAGUCUGGGUUUGAGCUGGAACCUGCUGCAAGCGUUUGACGGCAUUCACGCGCUUUUGAAACUUUCCAUGAACGGACUUGGAUCUAAUAUCCCUGAAAACAAAGAAAGAACAGUGCAAUUUGAACACAGUAGCCUCUGCCCCAUGCCUGAGGGAGACAGCACAGCUUUGGGAACUAUGAUUGAGUGACAGCCCUACGUAUGAAGUAAGUAACCAGGCUGCCCACUUAGCCCUCUUUUCCAUGGUUUCUUAAAUAGUUGGGUUUUCCUGACUUUUUUUUCUUUUUUUCUUUUUCUAAGGUUGGAGUAGUACAGCCAGCUGGCUAGAAUCUGCUUCCCAUGUGUUCUUAAUAACUUUUAUUUCCCUAAGGGCUAGCCUAUGCUUCUCAAACCUGGCUACACAUGAGAAUCACCAGGGUAACUUAAAAGAAAAAAAAAAAAAUACCAACGUGUGAACCCAUAACCAAAGAUUCUGAUUAAAUUGGUCAGGGGUGGAUCCUGGGCAACAGUAGGUUAUGAAACCUUCCAUCUGACUCUGAUGUGUGGCUAGACCUGACCAUCUCUACUUUUCAAUUUUUCAGGAGAAAUACCAGAAUGGCAUGACCUUUUAUUCAGUCUGCACAUCAUUUCUGCACACUACUUCCAGGGCAGGGGAUGUUGCAUACUCAAUAUAUACUGACUAGUCAAAUGUGGAAAGAAUGAUGCAUUUGAAAAGAUUAUUCCUUUCUUCUGUUUUAGGUUGGGAAUGUGACUAGUCAAUAAUGCCUGUGAGGACCAACUGGAAGAGAAGAAAUCAUUUAUUCUUUACCAUCAAUAUGUGACUGUGUCUUGAAAUGAAUAUCCUGGAAUCUGAUUCAGACUUGAUUUUGGAAACCCCUGUCCGCCCCCCCCCCCCUCCUCUGGAGCCUUAGGCAUGUGGUCAAAGAAUAUGAGUAAGGAACAGGGAACCAAGUCCCCUAAUUUAUCUUUAAUUUCUGUUAUUUUCUUACUGAACUCCCCUUCUCCUAUAUUAACUCUCCCUUCCAUGGAAUAGGUGAUGUGAAAUAGGUCCUACAUCCAUGUUAAAAGUUAAAGAGAUAAUGUUAGUAUUUUAAACAAAAUAAAAGAACAGCAAUAGAAGAGAUAAUAGCA